GACUGCGGAAGGAUCAUG
This 18-nucleotide ribosomal RNA is filed under the name Heuchera villosa var. arkansana. RNAcentral describes it as "partial 18S ribosomal RNA". The record is from RNAcentral. Lineage: Eukaryota; Viridiplantae; Streptophyta; Magnoliopsida; Saxifragales; Saxifragaceae.